GAUGAACGCUGGCGGCGUGCCUAACACAUGCAAGUCGAGCGAACAGAUGAGGAUCUUGCUUCUCUGACGUUAGCGGCGGACGGGUGAGUAACACGUGUAUAACCUACCUAUAAGACUGGGAUAACUUCGGGAAACCGGAGCUAAUACCGGAUAAUAUAUUGAACCGCAUGGUUCAAUAGUGAAAGACGGUUUUGCUGACCCUUAGAGAUAGAUCCGGGCCGCAUUAGCUGGUUGGUAAGGUAACGGCUUACCAAGGCAACGAUGCGUAGCCGACCUGAGAGGAUGAUCGGCCACACUGGAACUGAGACACGGUCCAGACUCCUACGGGAGGCAGCAGUAGGGAAUCUUGGGCAAUGGGCGAAAGCCUGAUGCAGCCACGCCGCGUGAGUGAAGAAGGUCUUCGGAUCGUAAAACUCUUUUAGUAGGGAAGAACAAAAGUGUAAGUAACUAUGCAUGUCUUGACGUUACCUAAUGAAAAAGCCCCGGCUAACUACGUG
This 497-nucleotide ribosomal RNA is filed under the name uncultured bacterium. RNAcentral's name for it is "partial 16S ribosomal RNA". It matches the Rfam family "Bacterial small subunit ribosomal RNA", at positions 28 to 507 of the family's 1533-position model. The record is from RNAcentral.